AAAGUAGUAGAAGUAUUUGGAUAAAUAGGAUCCACAUUAGAUUGUUCCUGCUCCAUAACGGGCAUAAAGUGUUGAGAGACUUGAUUAGAAACUGGUGCUUGAGCUACGGAUUAAUCAUGCUCCACAGUUGGCACAGAAUGUGGAGAAACUUGGACUAAAAAAAUAACUGGUUGAGUUGAUAAGGAAAAACCAACAUUACAAGGCUCACUGAAUGACAACCUCUGCUCAAUAGUGCCCUCUGUCUUAGUAGCUUUUGCUUUUGCCUGAGGAGGUGAGUCAAAUUGCUUAAUCCUUUGAGAGUUCAAAGGUUUCUGUAGGGAUCGUUUUUGCUUUAUUGAAGAGGUCAAAGUUGAUAUAGCAGAAAACUUAGAUGAGACAAGCUUUUUCUCCAUUGUUUUGGGGUCCAUAUCAGGUUCAUAAUGAGAUAAGGAGCAAAAUGUGAGCAAACCAAACAAUGAGAUGCCGUAUGAACCUGAAACUAGAGAAGAUGGUUGAGACUGGGUAAUAAUAGAGGAAGAUGUUGAAACUGAGGCAGCAGUAGCUAUGAAGACAAAAGGAGCAACUACAGUAAUAGAUAAUCGAGGGGAAGCAAAAGAUUCAUAUACAAAUUCUUGCAAUAGAUUGAUCUUUAAUCCUAAUGUGAGUGUC
Molecule: long non-coding RNA, 648 nt
Filed under: Elaeis guineensis (African oil palm)
Lineage: Eukaryota; Viridiplantae; Streptophyta; Magnoliopsida; Arecales; Arecaceae
Description: long non-coding RNA (EGUI_LNC003904)
Source: RNAcentral